Molecule: ribosomal RNA, 500 nt
Filed under: uncultured bacterium
Lineage: Bacteria
Description: partial 16S ribosomal RNA
Rfam family: Bacterial small subunit ribosomal RNA
Source: RNAcentral
AUUGAACGCUGGCGGAAUGCUUUACACAUGCAAGUCGAACGGCAGCACGGACUUCGGUCUGGUGGCGAGUGGCGAACGGGUGAGUAAUGUAUCGGAACGUGCCCAGUCGUGGGGGAUAACGUAGUGAAAAUUACGCUAAUACCGCGUACGAUCUAUGGAUGAAAGCGGGGGAUCGCAAGACCUCGCGCGAUUGGAGCGGCCGAUAUCAGAUUAGGUAGUUGGUGGGGUAAAGGCCCACCAAGCCAACGAUCUGUAGCUGGUCUGAGAGGACGACCGGCCACACUGGAACUUAUACACGGGUCAGACUCCCACGGGAGGCAGCAGUAGGAAAUUUUGGACAAUGGACGAAAGCCUGAUCCAGCCAUUCCGCGUGCAGGAUGAAGGCCCUCGGGUUGUAAACUGCUUUUGUACAGAACGAAAAGGUUUCUACUAAUACUAGGAGCUCAUGACGGUACUGUAAGAAUAAGCACCGGCUAACUACGUGCCAGCCGCCGCCGUAA